Molecule: ribosomal RNA, 460 nt
Filed under: uncultured bacterium
Lineage: Bacteria
Description: partial 16S ribosomal RNA
Rfam family: Bacterial small subunit ribosomal RNA
Source: RNAcentral
CCUACGGGUGGCAGCAGUGAGGAAUAUUGGUCAAUGGACGGGAGCCUGAACCAGCCAAGUCGCGUGAGGGAAGACUGUCCUACGGAUUGUAAACUUCUUUUGCCGGGGAGCAACAGGGUCCUUGCGAGGUCUCAAUGAGAGUACCCGGAGAUAAAGCAUCGGCAAACUCCGUGCCAGCAGCGGCGGUAAUACGGGGGAUGCGAGCGUUAUCCGGAUUUAUUGGGUUUAAGGGGUGCGUAGGCGGGCUGUUAGGUCAGCGGUAAAAUGUCGGGGCUCAACCCAGGCUUGCAGUUGAUACUGGCGGACUCGAGUGGGCGAGAAGUAUGCGGAAUGCGUGGUGUAGCGGUGAAAUGCAUAGAUAUCACGCAGAACUCCGAUUGCGAAGGCAGCAUACCGGCGCCCUACUGACGCUGAGGCACGAAAGUGUGGGUAUCGAACAGGAUUAGAUACCCUGGUAGUC